AUUGAACGCUGGCGGCAGGCCUAACACAUGCAAGUCGAACGGUAACAGGAAGCGGCUUGCUGCUUCGCUGACGAGUGGCGGACGGGUGAGUAAUGUCUGGGAAGCUGCCUGAUGGAGGGGGAUAACUACUGGAAACGGUAGCUAAUACCGCAUAAUGUCGCAAGACCAAAGAGGGGGACCUUCGGGCCUCUUGCCAUCGGAUUUGCCCAGAUGGGAUUAGCUUGUUGGUGGGGUAACGGCUCACCAAGGCGACGAUCCCUAGCUGGUCCGAGAGGAUGACCAGCCACACUGGAACUGCGACACGGUCCAGACUCCUACGGGAGGCAGCAGUGGGGAAUAUUGCACAAUGGGCGCAAGCCUGAUGCAGCCAUGCCGCGUGUAUGAAGAAGGCCUUCGGGUUGCAAAGUACUUUCAGCGGGGAGGAAGGGAGUAAAGUUAAUACCUUUGCUCAUUGACGUUACCCGCAGAAGAAGCACCGGCUAACUCCGUG
This 490-nucleotide ribosomal RNA is filed under the name uncultured bacterium. RNAcentral describes it as "partial 16S ribosomal RNA". It matches the Rfam family "Bacterial small subunit ribosomal RNA", at positions 30 to 507 of the family's 1533-position model. The record is from RNAcentral.